GACGAACGCUGGCGGCGUGCCUAAUACAUGCAAGUAGAACGCUGAAGGAGGAGCUUGCUUCUCUGGAUGAGUUGCGAACGGGUGAGUAACGCGUAGGUAACCUGCCUGGUAGCGGGGGAUAACUAUUGGAAACGAUAGCUAAUACCGCAUAAGAGUAGAUGUUGCAUGACAUUUGCUUAAAAGGUGCAAUUGCAUCACUACCAGAUGGACCUGCGUUGUAUUAGCUAGUUGGUGGGGUAACGGCUCACCAAGGCGACGAUACAUAGCCGACCGGAGAGGGGGGUCGGCCAGCCUGGGACGGUGACCGGCCCCAGAGUCCUACGGGAGGCGGCAGGAGGGAAACUGGGGGAAGGGGCGGGAGUCUGACCGAGCAACGCCGAGUGAGUGAGGAAGGUUGUCGGAUCGGAAAGGUCGGUUGUAGGGGAGGAAAGAGUGUGGGAGUGGGAAGUUCACACUGUGACGGUAUCUUAUCAGAAAGCGACGGCUAACUACGUG
This 495-nucleotide ribosomal RNA is filed under the name uncultured bacterium. Its description in RNAcentral is "partial 16S ribosomal RNA". It matches the Rfam family "Bacterial small subunit ribosomal RNA", at positions 28 to 507 of the family's 1533-position model. The record is from RNAcentral.